RNAcentral lists this ribosomal RNA (492 nucleotides) under uncultured bacterium. RNAcentral's name for it is "partial 16S ribosomal RNA". It matches the Rfam family "Bacterial small subunit ribosomal RNA", at positions 29 to 507 of the family's 1533-position model. The record is from RNAcentral.
AGUGAACGCUGGCGGUGGGCCUAACACAUGCAAGUCGAACGGCAGCGCAGUAAUAGCUUGCUCUUACGGGUGGCGAGUGGCGUACGGGUGAGGAAUACAUCGGAAUCUACUUUUUCGUGGGGGAUAACGUAGGGAAGCUUACGCUAAUACCGCAUACGACCUACGGGUGAAAGCAGUGGAUCUUCGGACCUUGCGCGAUUGAAUGAGCCGAUGUCGGAGUAGCUAGUUGGCGGGGUAAAGGCCCACCAAGGCGGCGAUCCGUAGCUGGUCUGAGAGGAUGAUCAGCCGCACUGGAAGUGAGACACGGUCCAGACUCCUACGGGAGGCAGCAGUGGGGAAUGUUGGACAAUGGGGGGAAGCCUGAUCCAGCCAUACCGCGUCUGUUAAGAAGGCGUUCGGGUUGUAAAGCCCGUUUGUUGGGAAAGAAAAGCAGCAGGUUAAUACCACGCUGUACUGACGGUACCCAAAGAAUAAGCACCGGCUAACUUCGUG